AGAACGAACGCUGGCGGCGGGGUUUAGGCAUGCAAGUCGAGCGAGAAAAGCGCAAGCUGAGUACAGCGGCGUAAGGGUGAGUAAUGGGUAGUCAACGUACCGGGCAGACGCGAAUAAUUUCCCGAAAGGGAUUGUAAUGCGCGAUGAGAUCACGGGCUCUACGGGGCUUGGGAUCAAAGGUCGGGGAUCCUUCGGGACCUGGCGCUGUCUGAGCGGACUACCUCUGAUUAGCUAGUUGGCGGGGUAACGGCCCACCAAGGCGAUGAUCAGUAGCCGGCCUGAGAGGGUGUCCGGCCACACUGGGACUGAGACACUGCCCAGACUCCUACGGGAGGCUGCAGUCGCGAAUCAUUCACAAUGGACGCAAGUCUGAUGAUGCCACGCCGCGUGCGGGAUGAAGGCCCUCGUGGGUUGUAAACCGCUGUCGAAGGAAGGGGAACCGCGGAACGUGAAUAGCGUUCCGUCUGACUGCUUUCUAAAGGAACGCCCCGGACAAAAC
Molecule: ribosomal RNA, 499 nt
Filed under: uncultured bacterium
Lineage: Bacteria
Description: SSU rRNA
Rfam family: Bacterial small subunit ribosomal RNA
Source: RNAcentral